CCCAGCUACUCGGGAGGCUGAGA
This 23-nucleotide non-coding RNA is filed under the name Cricetulus griseus (Chinese hamster). Lineage: Eukaryota; Metazoa; Chordata; Mammalia; Rodentia; Cricetidae. The record is from RNAcentral.